This 475-nucleotide ribosomal RNA is filed under the name Enterobacter sp. BF-12. RNAcentral describes it as "bacterial SSU rRNA". It matches the Rfam family "Bacterial small subunit ribosomal RNA", at positions 918 to 1393 of the family's 1533-position model. The record is from RNAcentral. Lineage: Bacteria; Pseudomonadati; Pseudomonadota; Gammaproteobacteria; Enterobacterales; Enterobacteriaceae.
CGCCCGCCGCGCGCGGCGGGCGGGGCGGGGGCACGGGGGGAACGCGAAGAACCUUACCUACUCUUGACAUCCAGAGAACUUUCCAGAGAUGGAUUGGUGCCUUCGGGAACUCUGAGACAGGUGCUGCAUGGCUGUCGUCAGCUCGUGUUGUGAAAUGUUGGGUUAAGUCCCGCAACGAGCGCAACCCUUAUCCUUUGUUGCCAGCGGUUAGGCCGGGAACUCAAAGGAGACUGCCAGUGAUAAACUGGAGGAAGGUGGGGAUGACGUCAAGUCAUCAUGGCCCUUACGAGUAGGGCUACACACGUGCUACAAUGGCGCAUACAAAGAGAAGCGACCUCGCGAGAGCAAGCGGACCUCAUAAAGUGCGUCGUAGUCCGGAUUGGAGUCUGCAACUCGACUCCAUGAAGUCGGAAUCGCUAGUAAUCGUGGAUCAGAAUGCCACGGUGAAUACGUUCCCGGGUCUUGUACACACCGA